GAAAAAGGAAGAAAAGACAAAGGCUGAAUUAUUCCAUAAAUGCAUAGCGAGCUUGUGUCAAGCAACAGAGAAUCCUUUUUGAUAUUUUUAAUUGAGAAGAGAGACAAUUUACUAUGAUAAUUUGGCACCAAUCAACAAGAUAACUACUGAUAACUUUGGAUUUCAAGGUUAAUAUUGGAGGACUGCAGUAACAAUGUAAAUAAAAAUAAUAUCAGGAAUAUUUAAAAGAGGCAGUGAUAAGAAAACUUCUAAAGAAGCCAAAUCUGGACCCAGAGAAUGAAAACUACUAUAGGCCAGAGACCAAAUUUCCCCUCCUAGGAGUACAAAAACAUUGAAUGUUUUAAAUGAGAGACGCUAUUGGAAAAUCAUCUGUCUUACCCUCCUUAUCCUUCGGUUGCUAUGGGAAGAGGCUUAUAUAAUAUGCCAAGAAGAAGACCUGGUUCCAUAUAUGGGCAGCUAUAAACUGAGGAGCACAUACAUUCAUAGUAGUGCAUCUAACCACCAUCACAGCUCAGACACUUUUGUAUAAAUGUAUGAAAAAGCUUCAGUAUUAUGGCUCCUGAAUUAAUAAAUUAGUUCUCAUAUUGCAGUCAUGACAAUCUGAACUUGAAAUUUCUGAUAUAAAGGAAUUUAAGAGUAAUUUGGAAACGAAGAGGAAAAGAAGACAAUCAGUUCUAUGCUAGAAGUACUUUGGGAUACAGAAUGUACUUUUCUGGGAAUUUGCUGCUGAUUUUGCUACAUAUGUUGCUCUGCUCAAUACUGCAAACUAAUUGUAUAAUAGUGCACUAGUAAAAAAAAAUGGAACCAAACCAAACAAAAAGUAUUUUCUAACAACAAUUUUGGAUCACACUUCAGCCUUGCAUUUAAGUUAUGAAAUAACAUUUUAGUUUUACCAGCUU
Crotalus tigris (Tiger rattlesnake) is the source of this 899-nucleotide long non-coding RNA. RefSeq lists it as uncharacterized. The transcript has 5 exons. NCBI's taxonomy places the organism in Eukaryota, Metazoa, Chordata, Lepidosauria, Squamata, Viperidae. The record is from RefSeq and is a predicted model, not a curated record.